Sinocyclocheilus anshuiensis is the source of this 429-nucleotide long non-coding RNA. RefSeq lists it as uncharacterized. The transcript is spliced from 3 exons. The record is from RefSeq and is a predicted model, not a curated record. Lineage: Eukaryota; Metazoa; Chordata; Actinopteri; Cypriniformes; Cyprinidae.
UACUAGACCUUUGUGGAAGGACGUCAUUAUGAACAAGGGAUGGGGCUUGGUGCAUCCUCCUGUUGUGUUUUAGCAGUUAAGCCUUUUUCAGCAUGCUAGUGGCCGUGGUCUUGCGUGAUGAGCUUCCAUGCAUUUUGCUACAUGGAAAAUCUCUCUCGCAGGUGUAACUGCACAUCCAGGGGUUUCCAGUAACUUGGUUGGAGACGAAUGUACAUCAGAGAUGUGACUGCACUGCUGUUUUGUUUGUUGGGUGACUGUUUUAACUUUGUCUGUCUUGGUCUUAUUUUGGUUAACUUGGUUUGUAUGGGUUUUCUUUUAUUCAUCCAUAAGCAGCCAUUCAUUAACUUGUGUGUGUGAGUUAGCAGGGAGACAAGAUAUUUGGUCUUGGUCGGCCAUUUUGUUCCUCCCGUUGGUGCAGACAACUGCUCA